RNAcentral lists this transfer RNA (84 nucleotides) under Medicago truncatula (barrel medic). Its description in RNAcentral is "tRNA gene34538". The stretch from base 10 to 83 matches the Rfam family "tRNA". From Rfam's summary of the family: Transfer RNA (tRNA) molecules are approximately 80 nucleotides in length. The record is from RNAcentral. Lineage: Eukaryota; Viridiplantae; Streptophyta; Magnoliopsida; Fabales; Fabaceae.
UAGUAUAGGGCGGAUGUAGCCAAGUGGAUCAAGGCAGUGGAUUGUGAAUCCACCAUGCGUGGGUUCAAUUCCCGUCAUUCGCCC